AUAGCAGAAGUGAUACCAUGGUCACGAAGUUGGUUUCCCCAGUGUGAGGCUUAUUCAUUGCGCUACAGAUGUACUGACCUCUGUGGUGCCCAUACAUGUGGGGAAGUCAACUGCAUAAUUUCUGGGAGUGGGAGUCUGCUCUCUCUCUCUCUCUCU
This is a small nuclear RNA of Grammomys surdaster, 156 nucleotides long. RefSeq annotates it as U1 spliceosomal RNA. Lineage: Eukaryota; Metazoa; Chordata; Mammalia; Rodentia; Muridae. The record is from RefSeq and is a predicted model, not a curated record. The transcript has a single exon.